UACCUGUUUUCCAUCCACCAAUCACGAGCCUGCAGUAUGUCUACCUGGCUCUUCACUCCAGUCUUUGCCAGAUCGUCUGUUUGCCUACGUGGUAUUACGCUUCGGUCGCAGAGCCUCUGCGCUAGAGUUUUCGCCUGUUUGUACUUGUCUCGUUUAAUUCUAUGCUUCCCUGUGCUCAGGUUAACCGCUCGGCUCAAAUCCUGGAUCCUGAUUGCUUCACCUGCUCCAGCCAGCUGCCCUACUCUGCCUGCUCCACCGGACAUACAGCCAUUCUCCACACCCGCCUUGCUCAGCGUCUUGGACCGGCCCAGCUCACUCAGUUUACCCUCUUUACCCAAGUGUCAGAUAAACUGAGGUUUUCUCUGUACGCUAAGUCCUGUCAGGAUUUGCUUUUGGGUCCAGAUUCCCCUGUGUCUUAUAACAUCAAGUAUCUGUAUCAGGACUGACACGGAUCAAAAACCUCUCCAAAAGUCUAAAUGGAUGUAAUGAACUUCAAAAUGUGGUCACCUGAUCCAUAAUCAACCUCUGGAGUCUUUAACAAGCACAUCUGUCUGCUCAGCUAUUGAUGGUUUGUUUUGUAGGCCUGGUGAAAAGCGGAGUGCUAAUGAGGUUUUCCCCAGCUCCAGCCAGGCAGGGCACCACUCAACCAUUAAGUCAAUUAAGAGUAGACUGGGGCUCCUUUAAUUUGGUUCUAAUUAAAGUGCAGGAAGUGAAACAGCAGCGCUCACCUACCUACCUUCAGGCUGAACGGGCUUUCUUGUGCUCUCUGGAAGCCAUUAGCACAUGUGGCCUCACUGGAUGGAUUGAGCAUUUACUGGGUUUUACAGAGCUCAUAACAGCGUGUCAUCACAAGUUAGAUGAAGAAUUUAUUGUCUGUGAAGAAGACCGUUGCUCUCUUCCACGGCCUCUGAAAAGACUUUCUUUUGGCGGAUCUUCUUCCACAGUUUAUAAAGGUAAUUGCUGAGCUCUGGGAAUGCAGUGACAUCGCUAAAAAGAAGUCGACGGGGCAACAGACAGGAGCAGUCACACAAUCGGACAGGUUGUGAACAAACCCCAGUUCACACUCGGGUCCAUCUGGUGGCAGGUGGUUCAGAGCAGCUGAAUAGGCAGCGGUCCAGACUCUCCUCCUCACCCAUCACACAUGGCUAACUUAUCAGAACAGACAUAAUGAAAGCAGCAACGACACUCACCGUGCCUGUAAUCUCUGUCAGGGAUGAGACUUUGAUUCACAGACGCUUUCAGCACAUUUGUCGACAUUUUUUUCCCCCAUUUUCCCCUCCUUUCCUGUUGGGUUCUGUGGCGGCUUGGCAUUGUCUGUUUGUGUGUGUGUGUGUGUGUGUGUGUGUGUGUGUGUGUGUGUGUGUCCUCACACAGACGGGGUGGGCUGGCAGAGGUCACGGUUCGCCGGCCCGCCUAGAUCCAUCAAGAGGAACAAAGCAGGGGGAGAAGGAGCAGUGCCAAGCCCCCCUGAAAUCAAAGACCAGGUUUGGGAUUGGGAUUCGCUCCAAAAGGCUGGACCCAUUUUGGUAGUGCAGGGGGUCUCGGGCAGCCAGGGGGAGGAGGAGGAGGAGGAGGUUAAAAACAAUAAUCAAAUCCACCACAGCGUCUGAGGACUGGGCCGGUUGAGAGAGCUGGCUGAAGCCUCUGCGUGCAGCAUCCCUUCUCGUCCCUCCCCUUUGAAGUCUGCUUGCUUUUGUUCUUUACAUAACUUGAUCGGAUAUUUGAAAGGCUAAUUUGUAUGCAUUCUGUGAGUGGGGGCUGGAGGGACUAAGGCAGAACCGCCCGCCACCCAGAAUUCCACAGGGGUGCUGACAGGAAGGUCAACACGAUUGGCCACAGGGGGAAAUGGGGGACACAAGCAAGCCAGAAGCAUAUGAUAAGUGUCUUUGAAUUAUUGCAGCUCUGUCCAAAUUUGAUGACAAUGGCAAAGUGGUCGGGGGGGCUGAAAUCCCUUUGCACACAGAGACCACACAUGCUUUGGUGGUCUUCAUUUUGCUGUCAGCUUCCCCACUGGACGAUACAGCAAUAGGCUGCGAAGGCAAAUAUGAAUAAACACUUCAAAGGAGCUCUGAUACGGCUGAUUUCGGAGCUGGACCCUCCAAAUGUUGUACUUUUAUUUUUGUGCUUUUUAUUCAGUGUACUAUUCAGCUCCAAACAACCAACAUACUUCAUCUGAAUUAAACUCAGUUGUUGGACA
Siniperca chuatsi (mandarin fish) is the source of this 2197-nucleotide long non-coding RNA. RefSeq lists it as uncharacterized. The transcript is spliced from 3 exons. The record is from RefSeq and is a predicted model, not a curated record. Lineage: Eukaryota; Metazoa; Chordata; Actinopteri; Centrarchiformes; Sinipercidae.